AGCCCAGCACGGACUCUUGAAAGUUUGAAAAGACCAGAGGUUGGCAGAGAUGAGCCAUUUCUUUUGACUGCUCUUGAAACUAAUCAAGAUUUCCUCCUUCCGGACGUUUCAUAUAAAUGGAAUCAUACACCAUGUGGUCUUUUAUGACUAGCUCCUUUUACUUGACAUAAUGUUUUCAAGAUUCAUCCAUGUUGUAGCAUAUUUCAUUCUUUUUUAUGGCCAAAUAAUAUCUCCUUGUAUGGAUAUACUACGUUUUGUUGAUCCAGUCAUCAGUUGAUGGACAUUAGGGUUGUGUCUACCUUUUGGCUAUUAUGAAUAAUGCUGCUAUGAACAUCUAUGUACAA
Neofelis nebulosa (Clouded leopard) is the source of this 344-nucleotide long non-coding RNA. RefSeq lists it as uncharacterized. The record is from RefSeq and is a predicted model, not a curated record. The transcript is spliced from 2 exons. Lineage: Eukaryota; Metazoa; Chordata; Mammalia; Carnivora; Felidae.